UACAGAGGUCUCAAGCGUUGUUCGGAAUUACUGGGCGUAAAGGGAGCGUAGGCGGCGUGGUAAGUCAGAUGUGAAAUCCCGGGGCUCAACCCCGGAACUGCAUCCGAUACUGCCGUGCUUGAGGGUUGGAGAGGUAGCUGGAAUUAUCGGUGUAGCAGUGAAAUGCGUGGAUAUCGAUAGGAACACUCGUGGCGAAGGCGAGCUACUGGACAACAUCUGACGCUGAGGCUCGAAGGCUAGGGGAGCAAAAGGG
This 253-nucleotide ribosomal RNA is filed under the name uncultured bacterium. Its description in RNAcentral is "partial 16S ribosomal RNA". It matches the Rfam family "Bacterial small subunit ribosomal RNA", at positions 524 to 776 of the family's 1533-position model. The record is from RNAcentral.